This 76-nucleotide transfer RNA is filed under the name Oscillochloris sp. RNAcentral describes it as "tRNA-Gln". It matches the Rfam family "tRNA". Rfam says of the family: Transfer RNA (tRNA) molecules are approximately 80 nucleotides in length. Lineage: Bacteria; Bacillati; Chloroflexota; Chloroflexia; Chloroflexales; Oscillochloridaceae. The record is from RNAcentral.
UGCCGGGUGGUCUAAUCGGCAGGACACCUGUCUUUGAAACAGGUUGGUUCAGGUUCGAGCCCUGACCCGGCAGCCA